RNAcentral lists this ribosomal RNA (500 nucleotides) under uncultured bacterium. RNAcentral's name for it is "partial 16S ribosomal RNA". It matches the Rfam family "Bacterial small subunit ribosomal RNA", at positions 30 to 523 of the family's 1533-position model. The record is from RNAcentral.
AUUGAACGCUGGCGGAAUGCUUUACACAUGCAAGUCGAACGGCAGCACGGACUUCGGUCUGGUGGCGAGUGGCGAACGGGUGAGUAAUGUAUCGGAACGUGCCCAGUCGUGGGGGAUAACGUAGUGAAAAUUACGCUAAUACCGCAUACGAUCUAUGGAUGAAAGCGGGGGAUCGCAAGACCUCGCGCGAUUGGAGCGGCCGAUAUCAGAUUAGGUAGUUGGUGGGGUAAAGGCCCACCAAGCCAACGAUCUGUAGCUGGUCUGAGAGGACGACCAGCCAGACAGGAACUGGGAAACGGUCCAGACUCCUACGGGAGGCAGCAGUGGGGAAUUUUGGACAAUGGGCGAAAGCCUGAUCCAGCCAUUCCGCGUGCAGGAUGAAGGCCCUCGGGUUGUAAACUGCUUUUGUACAGAACGAAAAGGUUUCUACUAAUACUAGGAGCUCAUGACGGUACUGUAAGAAUAAGCACCGGCUAACUACGUGCCAGCCGCCGCAGUAA